RNAcentral lists this ribosomal RNA (373 nucleotides) under uncultured organism. RNAcentral's name for it is "partial 16S ribosomal RNA". It matches the Rfam family "Bacterial small subunit ribosomal RNA", at positions 527 to 896 of the family's 1533-position model. The record is from RNAcentral.
GGAAGGUGCAAGCGUUAAUCGGAAUCACUGGGGCGUAAAGCGCGCGUAGGCGGUUAGAUAAGUCGGGUGUGAAAGCCCCGGGCUCAACCUGGGGAACUGCAUUCGAUACUGUCUGACUAGAGUGUGAUAGAGGGAGGCGGAAUUCCGCAUGUAGCGGUGAAAUGCGUAGAGAUGCGGAGGAACACCAAUGGCGAAGGCAGCCUUCUGGAUCAACACUGACGCUGAGGUGCGAUAGCGUGGGGAGCAAACAGGAUUAGAUACCCUGGUAGUCCACGCUGUAAACGAUGUCAACUAGCCGUUGGGAGCAAUUUGGCUCUUGGUGGCGCAGCUAACGCGAUAAGUUGACCGCCUGGGGAGUACGGUCGCAAGAUUA